This 1244-nucleotide long non-coding RNA is filed under the name Prunus persica (peach). Its description in RNAcentral is "long non-coding RNA (PPER_LNC003569)". The record is from RNAcentral. Lineage: Eukaryota; Viridiplantae; Streptophyta; Magnoliopsida; Rosales; Rosaceae.
UUGAAUUGUGAAAGGCUAAAUGAUGCAUGUUGAAAUUUAACAGUCCUAGUUUAUAUUUUGAAUUUAUCGUUUGCCUUGCUUAAGGCAUGAAUUGAUUUGCUAGCAUGCUUAGUAGUUGAGAAUUUUAGGAAGGCCGAAGGCCGUUUAUGUGAAUUGCAUGAAAUUAUAUUGUGCAUGCUGCCCGUUGGGAAUAUUAAAUGUAUUUUUAUGCAGGUUGAAAUUUUGGGAAAUGGCCAAGUUAUAGGGGAGACUUUGCCGAAAUUUCGACAGAAAGUCUCGAUCUUUAUUAAGUGGGCCCGGCAUCGGGGUGAUGUCGGGAAUUUUCCACAAGGUUCGUCUCGAGUUUUGGUAAAUUCGGGGCGGGUCCUUUCAAAAAAUAAAAAAAGAAUUUCACACAGAUAAAAUAAAAACAAAAUUUUAGAUUUAGGGAUAAACCCCUUCUUCCUCUUUGAAUAACCCUAGAAAUUCAGCAGUCCUUCUAUUGAAAAAUUGAAGAAAUUCAACAAUCCUUCUAUUUAAUAUGAAUCAUAUUCUAAUUUUUCUUAUGAAUUUUCUUUGUGCUUUUUCUUUUCCUCCAUUUUUUGAUGUACAAAGGAGAGGUCAUAUUGACACAUCUGGAUGCCAUAAGAAAUAGAAUUCAUAUUUGUACAUCAAUCUCUAAACAAUUGCAAUCUCUCCAUCUGAUAAGUAUAUAUCUGUUGAGGUCCAAAAUGUCACAAGAAGCCUAAUAUAAAAAUAAGCAAAUAAUACACUUUUCUAUGCGAAACUACCCGACAAGCUUAAGUGGGCUUAAGCCACAUACAUGCAUGGGGCUUGCUAAGCGAGUAGUGGUGUGGAUAGUUACAAGGAUUGAUGAGGCCCAUCAAAAGGUUCAAGAAAUAUAAGUUUUGGGCUGCUUGGGAGUGCCAAAAACCUAAGCCCAUUUCUAGUAGGGAACAUGAUUCCUCAGCAUUUAUUACCCGAUCUCCAAUUUUCUACCUUACAGUACCAGAGCCAUUGCAAGUCUUGCUUCAAUAGCGACCAUUGCCCAACUCCCAAUUUUCUACCUUCUUGUAAUCUUCAUUCUAUAAUGAAUUUGUAUUGGACUAAGGAGCCUCGUGAAUUUUCCCCAGAGGUGAGGUUUUAUCACGUAAAAUAAUUCUCUGCGUGCUCCUUUAUUUUAUGUUCAGCACGUUUCAGGAUUGAUAAGCCAAAUCAAUCCUAGUAUCGACGUUUAUUGAUUGUAAUUUUUAAUUAGCUUAUUC